This 72-nucleotide transfer RNA is filed under the name Ovis aries (sheep). It matches the Rfam family "tRNA". From Rfam's summary of the family: Transfer RNA (tRNA) molecules are approximately 80 nucleotides in length. Their secondary structure includes four short double-helical elements and three loops (D, anti-codon, and T loops). Lineage: Eukaryota; Metazoa; Chordata; Mammalia; Artiodactyla; Bovidae. The record is from Rfam by way of RNAcentral.
UCCCUGGUGGCUCAGCUGGUAAAGAAUCUGCCUGUAAUACAGGAGGCCUAGGUUCGAUCCCUGGGUUGGGAA